This is a long non-coding RNA of Vicia villosa (hairy vetch), 1407 nucleotides long. RefSeq lists it as uncharacterized. The record is from RefSeq and is a predicted model, not a curated record. The transcript has 4 exons. Lineage: Eukaryota; Viridiplantae; Streptophyta; Magnoliopsida; Fabales; Fabaceae.
CUCUAAUUUGAUAUCUUCACAUUCUCUCUGUUCUAUCUUAUCUCUCUCAAAACUCCCUCUCUCUCAAAGAACCAUCUCUCUGAACAAUUUCACACAUUAGUGUCUACAAUGGUCUUAGGUGUUCAACAAUUGAAGAAAGAUUUAAAUCAAAAGAUUUAUAACGAAGUUAUCCCCGAUGUUCUUAUUUACGGCGAUCCUGAUUUUAUUUUUCCUCGAGUUACAUACAUUUUACUUCCAUGAAUUCAUCUGUUUGAUUUUUUUAAAAUGUUAAUAUUCAUAUGUUUUUGCAAUAGGUAUGUUUUGGCUCACUUGCUUCUUAUGGUAUUCAAUGAAAUACUACCCUCUCUAAGAAUUACCAUGGCUUCUAAGAUGAUCUGUUACAUUUUGUUUUUUCUCAAUGAUUUGUGAAUUUGGUUUUUACUCAAGGAUAGCAAAAUUCACAUUCUUGGACACUUUCAGAAAGAUUUUGAAGGUUGGGGUGUCAGUGAAGAAUUUGGGGGCGAAAUUUGGUGGUUAUGGAUCAUUUUUGUCGACCUAUCAGCGCUCUCCAGCUUGGAAUCAUCUAAGAAAUCCAACAUAAAGAUCAAACUCAAAAUUAGCCCAGAUCUCAGAAUAACUUCAGCUUUGAGACUGUUAUUCUAGCAGAUAGUUUAGACGAUGAUAUUAAGUCUCUUUACUUGAGCAUCACCGCUGCAUCUGGACACGAGGUGGUCUAAUUUGCCUCAUGAAAUGACUGUUGUAUUCAGUGGGUUAUGCAUUGAAGAUGUGCAUUAGUAGCUGGAGUCUAUUUUCCAAGUUUAUUUAGAUAUAGUUUGUAUUACCUCUCCAAGUCUAGACAUUUCCUUAUGCAUCUUUCUCUUAUAAUGUAAAACCUGGAUUCAUGCUUAUUUGUAACAAGAUUGUUGUUUCUUAUAUUAUGGAGCCCAGAACUUAUAAUAUAAAAUGGAGUACAUUUUUUCAGAUCUUGUCUAAGAGAGGAGUCACUAUAAUAUCUGGUAAUUUAUGCUAAUGCUGGCAGAUUAACCGUGAACUACUUUGAUGAUAACAAGUUUGUAGCUUCAAUGAGAAUAGUAGCACGCAUGCAGGUUGGACAUGUCAUUGAUGAUGGAUGGAACUAAGGUUGCAGCGAAUACCAUUGAAGGAGCGGUUGGAUAGGUCGCACAUACGGUUUCUGAGCUUGCGGCAAAGCUUUGAAUGAAGGAGGAAGUGAUGAUAUCUUAGUCGUUGUUACUAAAGCUAGUGAUAUUGGAAAUAAGAAAUGUAACAUGAAGAAUGUCUAAUUUCAAUUUAUGUAAAUUAGUGUUGGUUAAUUGAUAGCAGAAUACGCCUUAAAGUUUUACACUUUCAGAGCAACUUGGUGCUCUCUUUGUAAUGUUGGUAUGCAACUUGAAUUGAAAUUUUUUGUUA